Molecule: long non-coding RNA, 1437 nt
Filed under: Oncorhynchus kisutch (coho salmon)
Lineage: Eukaryota; Metazoa; Chordata; Actinopteri; Salmoniformes; Salmonidae
Description: lncRNA (ENSOKIG00005028596.1)
Source: RNAcentral
AUGCUUCCUCCGCUCUCAAUACCAUCUGUUCUGCCUCAACUCUCAGACCACCUUCCAUUCGUAAGCUCCCAUCCGUCAGCCCCCAUCCGUCAGCCUCCAUCCGUCAGCUCCCAUCCGUCAGCCUCCAUCCGUCAGCCUCCAUCCGUCAGCUCCCAUCUGUCAGCCUCCAUCCGUCAGCUCCCAUCUGUCAGCCUCCAUCCGUCAGCUCCCAUCCGUCAGCCUCCAUCAGUCAGCUCCCAUCAGUCAGCUCCCAUCCGUCAGCUCCCAUCAGUCAGCUCCCAUCCGUCAGCUCCCAUCAGUCAGCUCCUAUCCGUCAGCUCCCAUCCGUCAGCCUCCAUCCGUCAGCCUCCAUCCGUCAGCCUCCAUCCGUCAGCUCCCAUCAAUCAGCUCCCAUCCAUCAGCUCCCAUCCAUCAGCUCCCAUCCAUCAGCUCCCAUCCAUCAGCUCCCAUCCAUCAGCUCCCAUCCAUCAGCCCCCAUCCAUCAGCCCCCAUCCAUCAGCUCCCAUCCAUCAGCCCCCAUCCAUCAGCUCCCAUCCAUCAGCCCCCAUCCAUCAGCUCCCAUCCGUCAGCCCCCAUCCGUGCAGAUGUGUAUGUUUUUGGGGGGUUCCAGCUUGUAUGUGCAGAUGUGUAUGUUUUUGGGGGGUUCAGCUUGUAUGUGCAGAUGUGUAUGUUUUUGGGGGGUUCAGCUUGUAUGUGCAGAUGUGUAUGUUUUUGGGGGGUCCAGCUUGUAUGUGCAGAUGUGUAUGUUUUUGGGGGGUCCAGCUUGUAUGUGCAGAUGUGUAUGUUUUUGGGGGGUUCAGCUUGUAUGUGCAGAUGUGUAUGUUUUUGGGGGGUUCAGCUUGUAUGUGCAGAUGUGUAUGUUUUUGGGGGGUUCAGCUUGUAUGUGCUGAUAUUGAGUUUUUACCUGCCAAGUUUUAUUGGAAUGUAACUGUUAUGAAAGUUGUCCAUUUGUUUUGGGAUUUAAACACCCCUUUAAAGGUGUACAUGACACUGGAACAACAUUUCCCCCCUGGGGACAAUAAAGUCUGUAAAGUAGGGCCUACGUGUAGUAAUAACAGAGUGGCUCCACCUACAUGUAGUAAUAACAGAGUGGCUCCACCUACAUGUAGUAAUAACAGAGUGGCUCCACCUACAUGUAGUAAUAACAGAGUGGCUCCACCUACAUGUAGUAAUAACAGAGUGGCUCCACCUACAUGUAGUAAUAACAGAGUGGCUCCACCUACAUGUAGUAAUAACAGAGUGGCUCCACCUACAUGUAGUAAUAACAGAGUGGCUCCACCUACAUGUAGUAAUAACAGAGGGGUGAGGAGGAGCUCCACCUACAGUGGGGCAAAACAAGAAUUUAGUCAGCCACCAAUUGUGCAAGUUCUCCCACUUAAAAAGAUGAGAGAGGCCUGUCAUUUUCGUUUUCAUUUUCGUCAUUUUCGUCAACUAUGA